This is a long non-coding RNA of Camelina sativa (false flax), 448 nucleotides long. RefSeq lists it as uncharacterized. NCBI's taxonomy places the organism in Eukaryota, Viridiplantae, Streptophyta, Magnoliopsida, Brassicales, Brassicaceae. The record is from RefSeq and is a predicted model, not a curated record.
AUUUGAAUCUUUGUUUAGUUUAUAAAGACUGUAUUUUUCAUUUAAAUCAAGUCUAAUGUGAAAUUGGAUUUUGUUUUUGCCAAGGUAAUUACUGUUAGAGGGAGACAUAAGCUAAACUUUCAAAAUAGGAGUGGAAUUUACGAAGAAAUCUAUACUAUAUAUACUGGCUUUGAGUUUGGAGACAUGAGUCAAACCAUAAGUAGCUGUCCCAUCUCUUCUACGAAGGUUUAGGAAGAAGAGAGUGUUUGGAUACAACACCAACAUAUCAAGAUCCAAAUAAUAUAAUCCCUAACAAUAAGGAUCCGCGUGUUUGGCCCCAGUUUGAUUACAUAUAUGCCCUUAAAUUUUUUUUUUCUGUUCUUCCUUUAUUUUCUGCGUGAGGGCAAGAUACGGAAUACUCGUUUUUAUGUAUUUUUUUAACCCUAAGUGUACUCCCCAAUUAAUAGUA